AAAAGGAGAGACACGAAAGAUAAUAUUAGCAAGACAAUGCGACUAAGAUAUUGACUUGAAGAUAUCUUCAGAAUCUUACAUAUUAACAAAGUUCAUCUAAUUUUUGGCUUGAAGAUAUGGGAGUAUUAAUUGGCAAGGGUGGAUUCUAUGGAAAUGUCUUCAGAAUUACACCUCCACUAUGUUUCACUAAAGAAGAUGCAGAUUUUCUAGUGGAUGUCAUGGACUACGCACUGUCAAAGAUAUAAGAACUCUUCACUACAGCUUGGCUAUUACAUUUUCUCCUAUAUAUGAUGGUUAAGAUAUGUUAAUGUCAAAGUUAAAUUGAACUCAUAUACAGCUUUUAUGUUCUUAUGUCAGUAGCAAAUUAACAACCAAAUGUAUCUGUAUGGACUGAUUUAGUACGUACAGUAUCUAGUGAUCAUAUAAUGAGUCAACAACUCGUUGUCUCUCGAUAUCCUAUCUUCUUUAUCUUUCUACGCAAGCACACCAUCUUGUCACCUACAAUCAUAUCUCCUAUGACCCUCAAUUAUAUACCAAAAGAAAAGGAGAGACACGAAAGAUAAUAUUAGCAAGACAAUGCGACUAAGAUAUUGACUUAAAACCAACAUUAAUUAAUAUUUAAUUCUCAUGGUUUAUGAUUGAACAUAGGUUUAGUUCAAUGAACAUAGGUUUAUUGAACUCAAAGUGUUGUUGUCUGCUUUAUCUUUACAUAGUGACGAGUUAGCAAUUAGUUGCCUAAUAUCAUCAUCACCUAAAAGCGACAAUUUUGGAUGACAUGGCAGUCACAUCGCAUACAGUAGAUGUUGAGGUUUGACAAAUAUAUAAUGAUUUUUUGAUUCGUCGCUUAAUAUUUUAAAAUUUUAUUUUUACACCUAUAAAAUAUUUAUAAAUGACAAUGAUUUUCUAACAAUCAUAUUAUGUUUUCUUUUUAAUAUUUUAUUCUUUGUGAAUUUUGGAACUAAGACGGCGUUAUAAUUUUGAAAAAACUUUAAUUUGGUAUUUUUGAUAUUCAACUUCUUAACAAUUGUACUAAAAUUAAAUCUGAUAUGGUUCACACUUCACAUUUCCUUCUAUGAUUUUGAUUUUGAUAUUAUUUUGAUUCAAUUGGCUGAUUCGAUAAUUCAUUUUAAUUAUUAAAGUAAAGAAAUGGUACUACAUUGUUUUAAUACAUCUUUCAUGUUUCAUUGUCCUUUUAUUGAUUGCGAUAUUAUUAUACUUCUUUUCGUUAUGUCAAAACUUAUUGACUUACAUAAAAAUAAGGCAUACGAGAUGGUCUUUGUUUUAUUUAUUUCACAUACAAAAUACAUAUCUCCAAAAAAAAAAUACUUCCAUACAGUGUGAUGCAAUGGCAAGAUGACAUGAUCUACCUAAUUAUUUUUUGUUGCUUAUCAUGAAGUUCGUAUGUUCUAACUACUAAAUUAAAUUUAUGAAUUAACCCAAAUAUUAUACUCCAUUAUUUAUAGAGGAAAAGGGUGUUUUCUUUCUCGUUAAAAUUAAAAAGAGAUAAUAUCUAUAAGCAUACUAAUCUUUUUAUAAAUUUACUGUCAUUCUUUCAUGAUCGCGCGAAAUAUCCUCAAUAUGUAAUACUUAUUCGAUUUUCCUUUUCCUUCAACUUCAAUUCCCUUUUUGUUGCUUCUCGUCGUCGCAGUGUCAAAUUUUGAGCUUUGAAGGGCAUUGGGAGAUUUAAUGACUUCUCGGUCUUCGCAAUCAUUGACGACAGUUAUUGUGGAGGACUUUGCGAAUCACGAAGAUAAAGUGAGGAUUAAUGAUGGGGAUUCAGAUACUGCUCACAGUAGCUAUGUUGCUGACAAUGCAACGACGACGAUGACGACAAGUAUGGCUUAUUUGCCGCAGAAUAUAGUGUUUUGUGAGCUUCGGCAUGACCGGUUUGAGGAAUAUGUUCCUUCUGGACCGUCUCGUAGCGGUUUAAUCUCGAAGUGGCGGAUUAAGAAUCGAGUAAGAUGUGAUUCUUUUCAUUUACACAUCUUAGUGUUUGUCAAUUUUAUAGGAGUAGAAGAUAUUGUGUGAAUUUGGAAGCACAUUUUUAAUGAUUGAUGACGUUAGAUUAAAUGUUUAGGUACUUCCUUG
Nicotiana tabacum (common tobacco) is the source of this 2088-nucleotide non-coding RNA. The record is from RefSeq and is a predicted model, not a curated record. NCBI's taxonomy places the organism in Eukaryota, Viridiplantae, Streptophyta, Magnoliopsida, Solanales, Solanaceae.